Molecule: long non-coding RNA, 16422 nt
Filed under: Triticum aestivum (bread wheat)
Lineage: Eukaryota; Viridiplantae; Streptophyta; Magnoliopsida; Poales; Poaceae
Description: long non-coding RNA (TAES_LNC019837)
Source: RNAcentral
UGGGUAAACUGCGCUACCUCUACAGAGUGUAUUCAAUCUAUCGAUAGCCGCGUCCUCGGUCAUGGGAAAAAGUACGUCGUAGGUCACACUAUCGGAUCUUGGUCGAAAUGGAGGAUAAACCUGCUAAUAACUUGUGUGUUAAUUAAAAUGUGAUAAAUCGUGUGAUGACUUGGACUGUGGGAAAAUCGUGAGAAGCCGCGAUGAUGUGUGGAUAUGACCCCGAGACAAGGUCUUGGAAAGUCACGCGUGUGCUCUGAGGAGCCGUGGCAGAGUAAGUGAUUGUUGCAUAAGGUUAAUACAUCAUGUCUUCACGGAAGGUAAUUGGUAGUUUAUUUCCAGCAUAGUUUCGUGAUGCCAUGCUAUGUUUUGAUAUGUUAUGCUUGUUGUUGUUAUGUUAGAAGUAAAUUUGAUAUGCCAUGCUAGUAGAUGGUGUGCUGUUGUUCAUGCUUAGUUUGAUUUAUGAUUCGAGUUAAUAUCAUGGCAUGCGUAGAAGUUGUGUUGAAGUAGACUAUUGCAUAUGCUUGGUUCUUGCUUCGUCAUCUGUUUGUUUGGAUGCUAUGUAUUUGGUUGUCUUGCAAGUACAUUCAAUGUACUGACCCGGCUUCUCAUCCCAGUUUUGUAGGUCGUGCCCAAAUUGUUCGCUUGUUUCAUCGUGCUAGGCCGUAAUCUUGCCAGUCUUGUGAGUUGUGGAGCCAAUCCUAAGUGAGAUGCUGCCAAACCAAGACUUCUAUUGCUAGUUAAAUAGACUUCCGCUGCCAUUUAAAUAGCCUUAGGUCUAUGCUAGAUAAUUGUAUUCAUCAAUGAUGUAAUCUUAUAUACAUGUAUUUGAUGAAUAUUAUUGUACUUGGAAUGAUGUAUCAUGGACCUGUCGUGCAUCAGGUGUUAUCCUAGGCUGACGUGCGAAGGCCCCCUGCUCCAUGCGGAUCGGGGUGCUGAUAACCCACAAGUAUAGGGGAUCGCAACAGUUUUCGAGGGUGAAGUAUUCAACCCAAAUUUAUUGAUUCGACACAUGGGGAGCAAAAGAAUACUCUCUAGUAUUAGCAGUUGAGUUGUCAAUUCAACCACACCUGGAAACUUAAUAUCUGCAACAAAGUAUUUAGUAGCAAAGUAAUAUGAUAGUAGUGAUAACGGUAACAAAAGGUGACGGUAGUAAAAGCAAUGUUUUUGGUAUUUUGUAGUGAUGAUAGCACUAGCAAAGGGAAAGUAAAUAAGCAAAGAACAACAUGUGGAAAGCUCGUAGGCAAUGGAUCGGUGAUGGAGAAUUAUGCCGGAUGCGGUUCAUCAUGUAACAGUCAUAACCUAGGGUGACACAGAACUAGCUCCAGUUCAUUGAUAUAAUGUAGGUAUGUAUUUCGAAUAUAGUCAUACGUGCUUAUGGAAAAGGACUUGCAUGACAUCUUUUGUCCUACCCUCCCGUGGCAGCGGGGUCUUUACGGAAACUAAGGGAUAUUAAGGCCUCCUUUUAAUAGAGAACCGGAACAAAGCAUUAACACAUAGUGAAUACAUGAACUCCUCAAACUACGGUCAUCAUCGGUAAGUAUCCCGAUUAUUGUCACUUCCGGGUUAACGGAUCAUAACACAUAAUAGGUGACUAUAGACUUGCAAGAUAGGAUCAAGAACACCCAUAUAUUGAUGAAAACAUAAUAGGUUCAGAUCUGAAAUCAUGGCACUCGGGCCCCAGUGACAAGCAUUAAGCAUAGCAAAGUCAUAUCAACAUCAAUCUCAGAACAUAGUGGAUACUAGGGAUCAAACCCUAAUAAAACUAACUCGAUUACAUGAUAGAUCUCAUCCAACCCAUCACCGUCCAGCAAGCCUACGAUGGAAUUACUCACGCACGGCGGUGAGCAUCAUGAAAUUGGUGAUGGAGGAUGGUUGAUGAUGACGAUGGCGACGGAUUCCCCUCUCCGGAGCCCCGAACGGACUCCAGAUCAGCCCUCCCGAGAGGUUUUAGGGCUUGGCGGCGGCUCUGUAUCAUAAAACGUGAUGAUUUCUUCUCCCUGAUUUUUUUCUCCCCGAAACUCAAUAUAUGGAGUUGGAGUCGGAGAGGCAAUAGGGGCCCACAAGGUAGGGGCGCGCCCUAGGGGGGCAGGCGCGCCCUCCACCCUCGUGGGCAGGUGGUGGGCCCCCUGGCCUUCAUCUUUCGUAGGUAUUUUUCUUAUUUUCUGAAAAGUGACUCCGUGAAGUUCCAGGUCAUUCCCAAAAUGUUUGCUCCUGCACAUAAAUAACACCAUGGUAAUUCUGCUGAAAACAACGUCAGUCCGGGUUAGUUCCAUUCAAAUCAUGCAAGUUAGAGUCCAAAACAAGGGCAAAAGUGUUUGGAAAAGUAGAUACGUUGGAGACGUAUCAACUCCCCCAAGCUUAAACCUUUGCUUGUCCUCAAGCAAUUCAGUUGACAAACUGAAAGUGAUAAAGAAAAACUUUUACAAACUCUGUUUGCUCUUGUUGUUGUAAAUAUGUAAAGCUAGCAUUCAAGUUUUCAGCAAAGAUUAUAACUAACCACAUUCACAAUAACGCAUAGGUCUCAAGUUUACUCAUAUCAAUAGCAUAAUCAACUAGCGAGCCAUAAUAAUAGAUCUCGGAUGACAACACUUUCUCAAAACAAUCAUAAUAUGAUAUAACAAGAUGGUAUCUCGCUAGCCCUUUCUGAGACCGCAAAACAUAAAUGCAGAGCACCUUUAAAGACCAAGGACUGACUAAACAUUGUAAUUCAAGGUAAAAGAGAUCUAGUCAAGUCAUACUCAAUGUAAACUAACAGUAAUGAAUGCAAAUGACAGCGGUGCUCUCCAACUGGUGCUUUUUAAUAAGAGGAUGAUGACUCAGCAUAAAAGUAAAUAGAUAGGCCCUUCGCAGAGGGAAGCAGGGAUUUAUAGAGGUGCCAGAGCUUGGUUUUGAAACAGAGGUGAAUAAUAUUUUGAGUGGUAUACUUUCAUUGUCAACAUAACAACCAAGAGAUGGCGAUUUCUUCCAUGCUACACACAUUAUAGGCAGUUCCCAAACAGAAUGGUAAAGUUUAUACUCCCCCUUCCACCAACAAGCAUCAAUCCAUGGCUUGCUCGAAACAACGAGUGCCUCCAACUAACAAGAGUCCCAGGGGGAGUUUUGUUUGCAAUUAUUUUGAUUUAGUUUGCAUAUAGCAUGGGACUGGGCAUCUAGGUGACCAGCCAUUUAUCUCAUGAGUGAGGAGCGGAGUCCACUCCUCUUGAGAAUAACCCACCUAACAUGGAAGAUAUGGACAGCCCUAGUUGAUACAUGAGCUAUUCGAGCAUACAAAAUAGGAUAUUUAUUUGAAGGUUUAGAGUUUGGCACAUACAAAUUUACUUGGAACGGCGGGUAGGUACCGUAUAUAGGUAGAUAUAGUGGACUCAUGUGGAAUAACUUUGGGGUUUAAGGGAUUAGAUGCACAAGCAGUAUUCCCGCUUAGUACAGGUGAAGGCUAGCAAAAGACUGGGAAGCGGCCAGCUAGAGAGCGACAACAGUCAUUAACAUGCAUUAAAAUUAAUCAACACGGAAUGCAAGCAUGAGUAGGAUAUAAUCCACCAUGAACAUAAAUAUCAUGAAGGCUAUGUUGAUUUUGUUUCAACUACAUGCGUGAACAUGUGCCAAGUCAAGUCACUUAAAUCAUUCAGAGGAGGAUACCACCCUAUCAUACCACAUCAUAAACAUUUUAAUAGCAUGUUGGCACGCAAGGUAAACCAUUAUAACUCAUAGCUAAUCAAGCAUGGCACAAGAAACUAUGAUCUCUAGUUGUCAUUGCAAACAUGUUUAUUCAUAAUAGGCUGAAUCAGGAAUGAUGAACUAAUCAUAUUUACAAAAACAAAAGAGGUCGAGUUCAUACCAGCUUUUCUCAUCUCAUUCAGUCCAUCAUAUAUUGUCAUAAUUGCCUUUCACUUGCACGACCGAAUGAUGUGAAUAAUAAUAAUAGUGCGUGUGCAUUGAACUAAGCUGGAAUCUGCAAGCAUCCAAUAAACAGGAGAAGACAAGGCAAUACGGGCUCUUUUGUCAGAUCAACAAUAAUGCAUAUAAGAGCCACUUCAGCAAUUUAAUUAUGGUCUUCUCCUAUCGACCCCCAAAGAAAAGAAAAGAAAUAAAACUAUUUACACGGGAAAGCUCCCAACAAGCAAAAGAAGAACAGGAAAUAUUUUUGGGUUUUCUUUUAAUUUGCUACUACAAGCAUGGAAAUUAAACUAACUAAAAGCUACAACUAAUUUUUUUGUUUUUCUUAAGGUUUAUUAAACACACAAGAAGAAAGCAUAAAAAGGAAAUUAAACUAGCAUGGAUGAUACAAUGAAAAAGUAUGAGCACCGACAUCUAGCAAUGAGUGUAUGAACAUAAAUGUAAUGUCGGUGGGAAAUACGUACUCCCCCAAGCUUAGGCUUUUGGCCUACGUUGGUCUAUGGCUAUGGCUGGCCUGGCGGAUAUCCAUAUUAGUAGUUGGGGUCGUACUGCGAUGCAGUGGCUAUCGCCUGCUGAGGUGCAGCGUGGCGACGAGCGGCCUCCGCUCUCCUCUCGUACUCAUCUGCCUCCUCUCUGGUAAUAGUAUAUCUUCCUCUUGCCUGAUAAUCAAAGAAGGCAGGAGCAGGGAGAGUAAUACGGACAGCACGGCAUCUGUCAAAGAUUAGUCGAUACUGGAGAGGUGAUUCGUUCCUCUCGACAAACUAGUGGUGAACCAUAGCAUGAAAAUCUAGAUAAGCAGGAGGUAAUUCAAUAUCAUCUUCGCGUAUGGCUAUACCAAGAAAAUUAGCUAUGCGGGUUGCAUAAAUUCCGCCAAACAAAUCUCCAUUAAGUCUAUUAAGGUGCAACCUACGUGCAACAAUGGCUCCCAAAUUAUAUGAUUUGUCUCCUAACACAUCACUCCUAAGAAUACUGAGAUCGGGGACACACAUGUGACAUGCCUCAUCUUUACCAUUAAUGCAUCUACCUAUAAAGAGAGCAAAAUAAUGUAUAACUAGAAAGUGAAUGCUCCCUAUGGUAGCUUGUGUAAUAUCUCUAGAUUCUCCCACAGUUAUGCUAGCAAAAAAAUCUCUAAAUUCAUAUUUGCGAGGAUCCCUUAUACUACCCCAUUGUGGAAGUUUGCAAGCAGUGGUAAAAUCCUCUAAGUCCAUAGUGUAAGAUUUAUCAUAAAGAUCAAAUAGGACAGUUGCAGAAUUACGUGAAGUUGAAAAUUCAAACCUCCUCACAAAGGUACUGGUGAGGUUGUGAUACUGGCUGCACUUCUCUUCCACGAAGCUCAUGAGAUCAGCAUUGCACAAAUAUGCGUUGAAUUCUUCCUUAAUUCCCACUUGAUCCAUAAAGUUCUCAGAAGGCCACUCACAAGGACGCACUGGAGCGUCUCUUGGUGACUCUUCAUCAGCAUCACGCAUGGCAAGCCUGGGUCCUUACUUCCUUGAGGAACCACCUUGGAACAUUUUCCUAAGCAUUUUUCUUCCUCUGAAAAAUUCUGAAAUUUUUUAGUAACUUCAAAAUAAAAAGUAAACCAAACUCAAUAAUAUUGAUAGCAACUACUCCCACAAGUGCCUAGGGCCUAUAUCAUGCAUCAAAACUACUUUUAACCAAAUAAAUUUGACAUGCAAGCUCAAGAACAGGGCCACCUAAGCAGCAAAAAAUUGCAAUGAAUAAAGCACUAGAACAAAAACUAAUUGGACCAAUGGAUGAGUCACAUACCAAGGAACAAUCUUUCCAAGCAGUUUUGUGAGAGGUGCUUUGAGCAGGGAGAUCGAAAAUGGCAGCAAAACGAGCUUGGACUCGGGUUUGAGCUGGAUAUUCGUGUUUGGGGGAGGAAGAAGGAGUGUGUGGGUGAAAGGAUAAGUGGAGGAGGCCACCAUGGGCCCACAAGACAGGGGGCGCGCCCAGGGGGUAGGGCGCGCCCAGGGGGUAGGGCGCGCCCUCCACCCUCGUGGGCAGGUGGUUGGCCCACCUGCUGUGUUCUCAGUGCCAAAUACUCUCAAAUAUUCUCGAAAAAAUCAUAUUUAAAUUUCAGGGCAUUUGGAGAACUUUUAUUUCCGAGGUAUUUUUAUAUUGCAUGGAUAAUUAGAUAACAGACAGAAAAAUAUUUAUUUUUAUUUUAUUUAAUAUAAAUAACAGAAAGUAAAAGUGGGGUACAGAAGGUUGUGCCUUCUAGUUUCAUCCUUCUCAUGAUCAUCAAAAGGAAUCCACUAACAAGGUUGAUCAAGUCUUGUUAACGAACUCAUUCCGAAUAACAUGGAACCGGAGAAAUUUUGAAUAACACUAUGUUACCUCAAUGGGGAUAUGCACAUCCCCAAUAAUAAGAAUAUCAUAUUUCUUAUUGACAGUAGGAAGAGGAAAUUCAAAACCUCCAAAUAUAAUCGAUGGAAUUUUUCCAAUAGAGUUAAUACUAUGAACUUGAGGUUGUUUCCUCGGAAAGUGUACCGUAUGCUCAUUACCAUUAACAUGAAAAGUGACAUUGUCUUUAGUGCAAUCAAUAACAGCCCCUGCAGUAUUCAAAAAGGGUCUUCCAGGAAUAAUAAACAUAAUAUCGUCCUCGGGAAUAUCAAGAAUAACAAAGUCCGUUAAAAUAGUAACGUUUACAACUAUAACAGGCACAUCCUCAAAAAUACCGACAGGUAUAGCAGUUGAUUUAUCAGCCAUUUGCAAAGAUAUUUCAGUAGGUGUCAACUUAUUCAAAUCAAGUCUAUGAUAUAAAGAGAGAGGCAUAACACUAACACCGGGUUAUCAAAUUUGGCAUAACACUAGCAACAAAUCCAAAUGAUUCUUUGAUUGUGGGUUAUCAAGAUCAACAGCAGGUUCAAUUUCUAUGUCAUUAUCAUUACUAGGUUGAGCAUCAUCAUGAAUAUUAUUAUUAACAUUAUCACUAGUUUCAGGUUCAUUACCAGAUUGAGUUUUAGCAUCAGAAAUAGAAAUAUCAUUUGGAUUCUCAGGUGUUUCAGUAAUAGGUUCACUAGAAGCAUGCAAAGUCCUAUCAUUUUUCUUUUUCUUCUUUUUAGAAGAACUAGGUACAUCUAUAUUAUUUCUCUGGGAAUCUUGCUCAAUUCUCUUAGGGUGGCCUUCAUGAUACAAAGGUUCCUGAGUCAUUCUACUAGUUCUAGUAGCCACUCUAACAGCAUUAUCAUUAUCUUUACUAUUCAAUUCAUUGAGCAAAUCAUUUUGAGCUUUAAGUACUUGUUUUACUUGAGUGGUAACCAUAGAAGCAUGUUUACUAAUAAGUUUAAGUUCACCUUUAACAUUAGCCAUAUAAUCACCCAAGUGUUCAAGCAUAUUUGAAUUGUAUUUCAAUUGUCUACCAAAAUAAGCAUUAAAGUCUUCUUGCUUAGCCAUAAAUUUAUCAAACUCAUCUAAGCAUGGGCUAGCAAAUUUAGUAAAUGGGAUUUCAGCUUUGUCAUAUCUAUAGAGAGAAUUUACCUUUACUACCUAUGUCGGGUUAUCAAGACCAUGAGUUUCUUCAAUAGGUAAUGGAUUAAGAUUAUAUGUUUCUUCAACAGGCGGUAGAUUAAGACCAUGUAUUUCUUCAAUAGGAAGUAAAUUCUUAAUAUCUUCAGCUUUAAUACCCUUUUCUUUCAUAGAUUUCUUUGCCUCUUUCAUAUCUUCAGGACUGAGAAAUAGAAUACCAUCUUCUUCGGAGUUGGUUUAGGAAUAGGCUCAGGAAUUGGUUCCGGAGGUGUCCAAUUAUUUUCAUUUGUCAACAUAUUAUUCAAUAGAAUAUCAGCUUCAUCCGGUGUUCUUUCCCUGAAAGCAGAACCAGCACAACUAUCCAGGUAAUCUCUGGAGGCAUCGGUUAGUCCAUUAUAAAAGAUAUCAAGUAUUUCAUUUUUCUUAAGAGGCUGAUUAGGCAAAGCAUUAAGUAAUUGGAGAAUCCUCGCCCAAGCUUGUGGGAGACUCUCUUCUUCAAUUUGCACAAAAUUAUAUAUAUCCCUUAAAGUAGCUUGUUUCUUAUGAGUAGGGAAAUAUUUAACAGAGAAGUAAUAAAUCAUAUCCUAGGGACUACGCACACAACCAGGAUCAAGAGAAUUAAACCAUAUAUUAGCAUCACCCUUUAAUGAGAACGGAAAUAUUUUAAGGAUAUAAAAGUAGUGAGUUCUCUCAUCUUUAGUGAACAGGGUAGCUAUAUCAUUCAAUUUAGUAUGAUGUGCCACAACAGUUUCAGAUUCAUAACCAUGAAAAGGAUCAGAUUCAACCAAAGUAAUUAUAUCAGGAUCAACAGAGAAUUCAUAAUCCUUAUCAGUAACAAAGAUAUGGGAAGUAGCAAAAGCAGGGUCAGGUUUCAUUCUAGCAUUUAGAGAUUGCUUACUCCAUUUAGCUAAUAACUUUUUGAGUUCAUUUCUAUUUUACAAGCUAAAAUAGCUAAGGAAGCUUCUUGAUCAAAAACAUAACCCUUAGGAAUAACAAGUGAUUCUUCAUCAUCACUUUCAUCAGUAUCAUCAGAUUCAAUAUUUUCAAUUUCUCUAGCCCUAGCAAGUUGUUCAUCAAGAAAAUCACUAAGUGGCAUAGUAGUAUCAGGCAUAGAGGUAGUUUCAUCAUAAGUAUCAUGCAUAGCAGAAGUGGCAUCAUCAAUAACAUGCGACAUAUCAGAACGAAUAGCAGAAGCAGGUGUAGGUGUUGCAAGCUUACUCAAAACAGAAGGUGAAUCAAGUGCAGAGCUAGAUGGUGAUACGUCUCCAACGUAUCUAUAAUUUUUGAUUGCUCCAUGGUAUAUUAUCUACUGUUUUGGACUAUAUUGGGCUUUAUUUUACACUUUUAUAUUAUUUUUGUGACUAACCUAUUAACCAGAGGCCCAACCUAGAAUUGUUGUUUUUUUGCCUAUUUGAGUGUUUCGGAGAAACAGAAUAUCAAACGGAGUCCAAACGGAAUGAAAACUUUGGAAACGUGAUUUUCUCAUCAGAUAAGAUCCAGGAGACUUGGACCCUCCAUUAAGAAAGCCACGAGGCGGUCACGAGGGUGGAGGGCACGCCCCCCCCCUAGGGCGCGCCCCCUGCCUCAUGGGCCCCUCGAAGCUCCACCGACGUACUUCUUCCUCCUAUAUAUACCAAUGUACCCCCAAACGAUCGGGGACGGAGCCUAAAACCUAAUUCCACCGCCGCAACUUUCUGUAUCCACGAGAUCCCGUGUUGGGGCUAUUCCGGAGCUCCGCCGGAAGGGGCAUCGAUCACGGAGGGAUUCUACGUCAUCAUCCUAGCCCCUCUUAUGAAGUGUGAGUAGUUUACUUCAGACCUACGGGUCCAUAGUUAGUAGCUAGAUGGCUUCUUCUCUCUUUUUGGUCCUCAAUACAAUGUUCUCCCCCUCUCUUGUGGAUAUCAAUUCGAUGUAAUCUUCUUUUUGCGGUGUGUUUGUUGAGACCGAUGAAUUGUGGGUUUAUGAUCAAGUCCAUCUAUGAAUAAUAUUUGAAUCUUCUCUGAAUUCUUUUAUGUAUGUUUGGUUAUCUUUGCAAGUCUCUUCGAAUUAUCAGUUUGGUUUGGCCUACUAGAUUGGUUGUUCUUGCCAUGGGAGAAGUGCUUAGCUUUGGGUUCGAUCUUGCGGUGUCCUUUCCCAGUGACAGAAGGGGCAGCAAGUCACAUAUUGUAUUGUUGCCAUCGAGGAUAACAAGAUGGUGUUUUUAUCAUAUUGCAUGAAACUAUCCCUCUACAUCAUGUCAUCUUGCUUAAGGUGUUACUCUGUUUUUAACUUAAUACUCUAGAUGCAUGCUGGAUAGCGGUCGAUGAGUGGAGUAAUAGUAGUAGAUGCAUGCAUGAGUCGGUCUACUUGUCUCGGACGUGAUGCCUAAAUACAUAAUCAUACCUAGAUAUUCUCCUAACUAAGCUCAAUUCUGUCAAUUGCUCAACAGUAAUCUGUUCACCCACCGUAGAAUACUUAUGCUCUUGAGAGAAGCCACUAGUGAAACCUAUGGCCCCCGGGUCUCUUUCUCAUCAUAUCAAUCUCCAUCACUUUAUUAUUGCUUUGCUAUUAAUUUGCAUUUACUUUUUACUUUGUAUCUCUAUACCAAAAAUACCAAAAAUAUUAUUUAUCAUCUCUAUCAGAUCUCACUUUCGUAAGUGACCGUGAAGGGAUUGACAACCCCUAAGUGCGUUGGUUGCGUUGAGCUAUUGUUUUUGUGUAGGUACGAGGGACUCGCGCGUAGCCUCCUACUGGAUUGAUACCUUGGUUCUCAAAAACUGAGGGAAAUACUUACGCUACUUUGCUGCAUCAUCCUCUCCUCUUCGGGGAAAUCCAAUGCAGUGCUCAAGAGGUAGCAAGAAGAGUUUCUAGCACCGUUGUCGGGGAGUCUGCGCAAAAGUCAACAUACCAAGUACCCAUGACAAUCCCUAUCUGCCGCAUUACAUUAUUUGCCAUUUGCCUCUCGUUUUCCUCUCCCCCACUUCACCCUUGCCGUUUUAUUCGCCCUCUCUCUCUCUAUCCUCCCUCUCUUUCUCUAUUUGCCUCUUUUUGCCCGUUUGCUUUUUGUUUGCUCAUGUGUUGGAUUGCUUGUUUGUCGCGAUGGCUCUUCCUAGAUUCGGUGAUCUUCACCUUAAAAGGUCAGAGGAGAUCGAAAACAACGUCAGGAAAUUUAUGGUUUUGCAAUUUGAGCAUAAUAAUUUCUUUAGAAAUGAGCUUAAGGAACAAAAAGGUUUUAUGAUUUAUAUGAAUAAAGAGCUCAAUGAUAUGUCUAAAGAAUUUGAUGGUAUAAGAUCCCAAAUUGCUCGUCUUGAAAAAUUAAUUGCUGAAAUUUCGGAUAUGCAAGCUACCUUAGUCAAUAAGAUGGCCGCUAAACUGGAUUCCUAUGAAAAUCAAGAUGAAGAUCUAAAAGUUAUUGAUGUGUCCCCUAUUAAAUCUUUGUUUUGCAAUAUUAAUCUUGAUAAUGAUGGGACUGAAUAUGAUCCACCUUUACCUAGAAGGUGUUCUAAAAAUUCAGAGUAUUUAGACCUUGAUGAUGAAAUUGAUAAAAGUGGGAUUAAAAGAAAUAAAACCCUAGAUGAUGCUAAACCCACUAUAUUGGAUUUCAAGGAAUUUAAUUAUGAAAAUUGCUCUUUAAUUGAUUGUAUUUCCUUGUUGCAAUCCGUGCUAAAUUCGCGUCAUGCUUAUAGCCAAAAUAAAGCCUUUACCGAACAUAUCGUUGAUGCCUUGAUGCAAUUUUAUGAAGAAAAACUUGAGUUGAAAGUUUCUAUCCCUAGAAAACUUGAUGACGAGUGGGUACCUACUAUUAAAAUUAAAAUUAAAGAUUAUGAGUUUUAUGCUUUGUGUGAUUUGGGUGCUAGUGUCUCUACUAUUCCCAAAACUUUGUGUGAUUUGCUAGAUUUCUGUGAUUUUGAUGAUUGCUCUCUAAACUUGCAUCUUGCGGAUUCCACUAUUAAGAAACCUAUGGGAAGAAUUAAUGAUGUUCUUAUUGUUGCAAAUAGGAAUUAUGUGCUCAUAGAUUUUAUCGUUCUUGAUAUAGAUUGCAAUCCUUCUUGCCCUAUUAUUCUCGGUAGACCAUUCCUUAGAACGGUUGGUGCAAUUAUUGAUAUGAAGGAAGGGAACAUUAUAAUUCAAUUUCCAUUAAAAAAGGGCAUGGAACACUUCCCUAGAAAGAAAAUAAAAUUACCAUAUGAAUCUAUCAUGAGAGUCACUUAUGGAUUGCCUACCAAAGAUGGCAAUACCUAGAUCUAUUCUUGCUUGUUAUGCCUAGCUAGGGGCGUUAAACGAUAGUGCUUGUUGGGAGGCAACCCAAUUUUAUUUUUAUUCCUUGCAUUUUGCUCCUGUUUAGUAAUAAAUAAUUUAUCUAGCCUCUGUUUUGGUUGUGUUUUUUGUGUUUAAUUAGUGUUUGUGCCAAGUAGAAUCGUUGGGAAGACUUGGGGAAAGUCUUGUUGAACUUGCUGUAAAAAACAGAAACUUUAGGGCUCACGAGAACUGCUGUCAUUUUUAUUUGGAACGCUCUAUUUAGUUAAUUAUUUUUGCGGAUGUUUAAUAGAUAAAUUCCUCACGUACAGAAAUUUAUUUUAGAAUUUUUGGGAUUCCAUAUCUUGCGCUAGCUACAGAUUACUACAGACUAUUCUGUUUUUGACAGAUUCUAUUUUUCGUGUGUUGUUUGCUUAUUUUGAUGAAUCAAUGGCUAGUAAAAUAGUUUAUAAUCCAUAGAGAAGUUGGAAUACAGUAGGUUUUACACCAAUAUAAAUAAAUAAUGAGUUCAUUACAGUACCUUGAAGUGGUCUUUUGUUUUCUUUCGCUAACGGAGCUCACGAGUUUUCUACUUUAAGUUUUGUGUUGUGAAGUUUUCAAGUUUUGGGUAAAGAUUUGAUGGAUCAUGGAACAAGGAGUGGCAAGAGCCUAAGCUUGGGGAUGCCCAUGGCACCCCCAAUAUAAUCUAAGGACACCUAAAAGCCAAAGCUUGGGGAUGCCCCGGAAGGCAUCCCCUCUUUCGUCUACUUCUAUCGGUAACUUUACUUGGAGCUAUAUUUUUAUUCACCACAUGAUAUGUGUUUUGCUUGGAGCGUCUUUUAUGAUUUGAGUCUUUUCUUGUUAGUCUACCACAAUCAUCCUUGCUGUACACACCUUUUGAGAGAGCCAUACAUGAUUUGGAAUUUGAUAGAAUACUCUAUGUGCUUCACUUAUAUCUUUUGAGCUUUAUAGUUUUGCUCUAGUGCUUCACUUAUAUCUUUUAGAGCACGGUGGUGGAUUUGUUUUAUAGAAACUAUUGAUAUCUCAUGCUUCACUUAGAUUAUUUUGAGAGUCUUAAUAGCAUGGUAAUUUUCAUAAAAUCCUAAUAUGCUUGGUAUGCAAGAUUAAUAAUAAAACUUUCUUAUGAGUGUGUUGAAUGCUAAGAAAAGUUUGAUGCUUGAUGAUUGUUUUGAGAUAUGGAGGUAAUAAUAUCAAAGUCAUGCUAGUUGAGUAGUUUUGAAAUUGAGAAAUACUUGUAUUGAAGUUUGCAAGUCCCAUAGCAUGCACGUGUGGUAAACGUUAUGCAACAAAUUUGAAACAUGAGGUGUUAUUUGAUUGUCUUCCUUAUGAGUGGCGGUCGGGGACGAGCGAUGGUCUUUUCCUACCAAUCUAUCCCCUUAGGAGCAUGCGCGUAGUGCCGAGGUUUUUGAUGACUUGUAGAUUUUUGCAAUAAGUAUGUGAGUUCUUUAUGACUAAUGUUGAGUCCAUGGAUUAUAUGCACUAUCACCCUUCCAUCCUUGCUAGCCUCUUCGGUACCGUGCAUUGCCCUUUCUCACAUUGAGAGUUGGCGCAAACUUCGCCGGUGCAUCCAAACCUCGUGAUAUGAUACGCUCUUUCACACAUAAACCUCCUUAUAUCUUCCUCAAAACAGCCACCAUACCUACCUAUUAUGGCAUUUCCAUAGCCACUCCGGGAUAUAUUGCCAUGCAACUUUCUAUCAUUCCGUUCAUCAUGACACAUUCAUCAUUUUCAUAUUGCUUAGCAUGAUCAUGUAGUUGACAUAGUAUUUGUGGCAAAGCCACCGUUCAUAAUUCUUUCAUACAUGUCACUCUUGGUUCAUUGCAUAUCCCGGUACACCGCCGGAGGCAUUCAUAUAGAGUCAUCUUUGUUCUAGUAUCGAGUUGUAAUCAUUGAGUUGUAAAUAAAUAGAAGUGUGAUGAUCAUCAUUAUUAGAGCAUUGUCCCAAGUGAGGAAUAAAAAAAGAGAAGGCCCAAAAAAAGAGAAAGGUCAUAAAUAAAAGGAAAAGGCCCAAAAAUGAGAGAAAAAGAGAGAAAGGACAAUGUUACCAUCCUUUUACCACACUUGUGCUUCAAAGUAGCACCAUGAUCUUCAUAGUAGAGAGUCUCUCAUGUUAUCACUUUCAUAUACUAGUGGGAAUUUUUUCAUUAUAGAACUUGGCUUGUGUAUUCCAACAAUGGGCCUCCUCAAGUGCCCUAGGUCUUCGUGAGCAAGCAAGUUGGAUGCACACCCACUAGUUUCUUUUGUUGAGCUUUCAUACAUUUAUAGCUCUAGUGCAUCCGUUGCAUGGCAAUCUCUAUUCCUUGCAUUAACAUCAAUCGGUGGGCAUCUCCAUAGCCCAUUGAUUAGCCUCGUUGAUGUGAGACUUUCUCCUUUUUUGUCUUCUCCACAUAACCCCCCUCAUUAUAUUCUAUUCCACCCAUAGUGCUAUGUCCAUGGCUCGCGCUCAUAUAUUGCAUGAAAGUUUAUAGGUUUGAGAUUACUAAAGUAUGAAACAAUUGCUUGGCUUGUCAUCAGGGUUGUGCAUGAUGAGAGCAUUCUUGUGUGACGAAAAUGAAACAUGACUAAACUAUAUGAUUUUGUAGGGAUGAACUUUCUUUGGCCAUGUUAUUUUGAGAAGACAUAAUUGCUUAGUUAGUAUGCUUGAAGUAUUAGCAUUUUUAUGUCAAUAUGAACUUUUGUCUUGAAUCUUUCGGAUCUGAAUAUUCAUACCACAAUUAAGAAGAAUUACAUUAAAAUUAUGCCAAGUAGCACUCCGCAUCAAAAAAAUUCUUUUUAUCAUUUACCUACUCGAGGACGAGCGGGAAUUAAGCUUGGGGAUGCUUGAUACGUCUCCAACGUAUCUAUAAUUUUUUAUUGCUCCAUGCUAUAUUAUCUACUAUUUUGGACUAUAUUGGGCUUUAUUUUCCACUUUUAUAUUAUUUUUGGGACUAACCUAUUAACCAGAGGCCCAGCCCAGAAUUGUUGGUUUUUGCCUAUUUCAGUGUUUCGGAGAAACAGAAUAUCAAACAGAGUCCAAACGGAAUGAAACCUUCGGAAACAUGAUUUUCUCACCAGAUAAGAUCCAGGAGACUUGGACCCUCCGUCAAGAAAGCCACGAGGCGGUCACGAGGGUGGAGGGCGCGCCCCUUGCCACAUGGGCGCCUCGAAGCUCCACCGACGUACUUCUUCCUCCUAUAUAUACCUACAUACCCCCAAACGAUCGGGGACGGAGCCAAAAACCUAAUUCCACCGCCGCAACUUUCUGUAUCCACGAGAUCCCAUCUUGGGGCCUAUUCCGGAGCUCCACCGGAAGGGGCAUCGAUCACGGAGGGAUUCUACAUCAUCAUCCAAGCCCCUCCAAUGAAGUGUGAGUAGUUUACUUCAGACCUACGGGUCCAUAGUUGGUAGCUAGAUGGCUUCUUCUCUCUUUUUGGAUCUCAAUACAAUGUUCUCCCCCUCUCUUGUGGAGAUCUAUUCGAUGUAAUCUUCUUUUUGCAGUGUGUUUGUUGAGACCGAUGAAUUGUGGGUUUAUGAUCAAGUCUAUCUAUGAAUAAUGUUUAAAUCUUCUCCGAAUUCUUUUAUGUAUGAUUGGUUAUCUUUGCAAGUCUCUUUGAAUUAUCAGUUUGGUUUGGCCUACUAGAUUGGUUGUUCUUGCCAUGGGAGAAGUGCUUAGCUUUGGGUUCGAUCUUGCGGUGUCCUUUCCCAGUGACAGAAGGGGCAGCAAGUCACAUAUUGUAUUGUUGCCAUCGAGGAUAACAAGAUGGUGUUUUUAUCAUAUUGCAUGAAACUAUCCCUCUACAUCAUGUCAUCUUGCUUAAGGCGUUACUCUGUUUUUAACUUAAUACUCUAGAUGCAUGCUGGAUAGCGGUCGAUGAGUGGAGUAAUAGUAGUAGAUGCAGGCAUGGUCGGUCUACUUGUCUCGGACGUGAUGCCUAAAUACAUAAUUAUACCUAGAUAUUCUCCUAACUAAGCUCAAUUCUGUCAAUUGCUCAACAGUAAUCUGUUCACCCACCGUAGAAUAUUUAUGCUCUUGAGAGAAGCCACUAGUGAAACCUAUGGCCCCGGGUCUCUUUCUCAUCAUAUCAAUCUCCAUCACUUUAUUAUUGCUUUGCUAUUAAUUUGCAUUUACUUUUUACUUUGUAUCUCUAUACCAAAAAUACCAAAAAUAUUAUUUAUCAUCUCUAUCAGAUCUCACUUCCGUAAGUGACCGUGAAGGGAUUGACAACCCCUAAGCGCGUUGGUUGCGUUGAGCUAUUGUUUUUGUGUAGGUACGAGGGACUCGCGCGUAGCCUCCUACUGGAUUGAUACCUUGGUUCUCAAAAAUUGAGGGAAAUACUUACGUUACUUUGCUGCAUCAUCCUAUCCUCUUCGGGGAAAUCCAACGCAAUGCUCAAGAGGUAGCAGAUGGCAGUUCCUUACCUCCCCUCGUAGUUGAGGGAUAAAUCUUGGUUGUUGGAUCUUUCAAGUUCUUCAUAAUGAUAAGCAGAUAUAUAUCCCAAGUGACUCAAAGAAUAGAGCUAUGCUCCCCGACAACGGCGCUUGAAAAUAGUCUUGAUAACCCACAAGUAUAGGGGAUCGCAACAGUUUUCGAGGGUAAAUUAUUCAACCCAAAUUUAUUGAUUUGACACAAGGGGAGAAAAAGAAUACUCUCAUGUAUUAGCAGCUGAGUUGUCAAUUCAACCACACCUGGAAACAUAAUAUCUGCAGCAAAGUAUUUAGUAGCAAAGUAAUAUGAUAGUAGUGAUAACGGUAUCAAAAGGUAACGGUAAUAAAAGCAAUGUUUUUGGUAUUUUGUAGUGAUGAUAGCAAUAGCAAUGGGAAAGUAAAUAAGCGAAGAACAAU